This 228-nucleotide ribosomal RNA is filed under the name uncultured bacterium. Its description in RNAcentral is "partial 16S ribosomal RNA". It matches the Rfam family "Bacterial small subunit ribosomal RNA", at positions 103 to 334 of the family's 1533-position model. The record is from RNAcentral.
CGGGUGAGUAAUAUAUCGGAACGUAUCCAAUAAUGGGGGAUAACUAGUCGAAAGAUUAGCUAAUACCGCAUACGCCCUGAGGGGGAAAGCUGGGGAUCUUCGGACCUAGCGUUAAUGGAGCGGCCGAUAUCUGAUUAGCUAGUAGGUGAGGUAAGAGCUCACCUAGGCGACGAUCAGUAGCUGGUCUGAGAGGACGACCAGCCACACUGGAACUGAGACACGGUCCAG